ACGCACGCUGGCGGCGUGCCUAAUACCUGCCAGUCGAACGCACUCUCGUUUAGAUUGACGGAGUUUGCUCCUGAUUGAUAAACAUUUGAGUGAGUGGCGGACGGGUGAGUAACACGUGGGUAACCUGCCCUAAAGUGGGGGAUAACAUUUGGAAACAGAUGCUAAUACCGCAUAAAACCUAACACCGCCUGGUGUAGGGUUGAAAGAUGGUUUCGGCUAUCACUUUAGGAUGGACCCGCGGUGCAUUAGUUAGUUGGUGAGGUAAAGGCUCACCAAGACCGUGAUGCAUAGCCGACCUGAGAGGGUAAUCGGCCACACUGGGACUGAGACACGGCCCAGACUCCUACGGGAGGCAGCAGUAGGGAAUCUUCCACAAUGGACGAAAGUCUGAUGGAGCAACGCCGCGUGAGUGAAGAAGGUUUUCGGAUCGUAAAACUCUGUUGUUGGAGAAGAAUGUAUCUGAUAGUAACUGAUCAGGUAGUGACGGUAUCCAACCAGAAAGCCACGGCUAACUACGUG
Molecule: ribosomal RNA, 519 nt
Filed under: uncultured bacterium
Lineage: Bacteria
Description: partial 16S ribosomal RNA
Rfam family: Bacterial small subunit ribosomal RNA
Source: RNAcentral